AUACGGAGGGAGCGAGCGUUAAUCGGAAUUACUGGGCGUAAAGCGCGCGUAGGCGGCUUUGUAAGUCGGAUGUGAAAGCCCAGGGCUCAACCCUGGAAUUGCAUUCGAUACUGCAUGGCUAGAGUAUGGUAGAGGGAAGUGGAAUUUCCGGUGUAGCGGUGAAAUGCGUAGAUAUCUGAAGGAACACCAGUGGCGAAGGCGACUUCCUGGGCCAAUACUGACGCUGAGGUGCGAAAGCGUGGGGAGCAAACAGGAUUAGAAACCCCGGUAGUCC
This 274-nucleotide ribosomal RNA is filed under the name uncultured bacterium. Its description in RNAcentral is "partial 16S ribosomal RNA". It matches the Rfam family "Bacterial small subunit ribosomal RNA", at positions 523 to 796 of the family's 1533-position model. The record is from RNAcentral.